CAGCAACGUAUGUACAUAGGUAUAUAUUUAUAGAGACUUGGCGUUCAAUCUGUGAGGGAGAGGGAGACGGAGAGAGAGAGAGAGAGAGAAGAUGAGAAAGAAAAAUGAGAUAAUCGAGAUCGGAAGAG
This 128-nucleotide long non-coding RNA is filed under the name Neodiprion lecontei (redheaded pine sawfly). RNAcentral's name for it is "uncharacterized LOC124295289". Lineage: Eukaryota; Metazoa; Arthropoda; Insecta; Hymenoptera; Diprionidae. The record is from RNAcentral.